AAAAUGAUAAGCCAAGCUGGAUUUCGAAUCCUAUCCAGCUUGAUCCUUCUUCUAAGUUUAAAUACCCUAUUUGGAAGAUCUGAAAAGGAAAAUACUUUUGAAACAUCGCCUAGGUGUAUUUAUGUUGUAGAAGUAAAUGUUACUACUUCAUGGAUAUUGGUUACCAGCUGCGGUGCUCAUAUUUGUUCGAAUAAGAAUGGCC
Molecule: long non-coding RNA, 202 nt
Filed under: Brassica rapa (field mustard)
Lineage: Eukaryota; Viridiplantae; Streptophyta; Magnoliopsida; Brassicales; Brassicaceae
Description: long non-coding RNA (BRAP_LNC000341)
Source: RNAcentral